This is a non-coding RNA of Podarcis lilfordi (Lilford's wall lizard), 80 nucleotides long. NCBI's taxonomy places the organism in Eukaryota, Metazoa, Chordata, Lepidosauria, Squamata, Lacertidae. The record is from the annotation of a GenBank genome assembly.
GCCUGAGGGAUGGCUGGCUCAGUCAGCAGAGCAUGAGACUCUUAAUCUCAGGGUCGUGGGUUCAAACCCCACAUUAGAUG